RNAcentral lists this ribosomal RNA (215 nucleotides) under Campeiostachys nutans. RNAcentral's name for it is "Elymus nutans partial small subunit ribosomal RNA". The stretch from base 38 to 215 matches the Rfam family "Eukaryotic small subunit ribosomal RNA", at positions 685 to 864 of the family's 1831-position model. The record is from RNAcentral. Lineage: Eukaryota; Viridiplantae; Streptophyta; Magnoliopsida; Poales; Poaceae.
AGAUCAAACUGUUGGUCGUGCCUUGGUACGUACUGGCAUUAUUGAUUUCUCCCUUCUGGAGAACCACGAUGUCAUUAAUUUGGUGUCUUGGGGAAUCAGGACUGUUACCUUGAAAAAAUUAGAGUGUUUAAAGCAAGCUAACGCUUGAAUACAUUAGCAUGGAAUAAUGAAAUAGGACGUUCGAUCCUAUUUUGUUGGUUUCUAGGAUUGACGUA